Molecule: transfer RNA, 63 nt
Organism: Cavia porcellus (domestic guinea pig)
Lineage: Eukaryota; Metazoa; Chordata; Mammalia; Rodentia; Caviidae
Rfam family: tRNA
About the family: Transfer RNA (tRNA) molecules are approximately 80 nucleotides in length. Their secondary structure includes four short double-helical elements and three loops (D, anti-codon, and T loops).
Source: Rfam
GGGGAUUUAGCUCAGCGGCAUAAGCACCUGCCUUGCAAGCAGGCGGUCUGAGUUCAAUUCCCU